GAUGAACGCUGGCGGGGUGUAUAAGAGAGGGAAGUCGAGGGAACGGACGAGAAGCUUGCUGGGCUGAGGUUAGCGGCGGACGGGUGAGUAACACGUGGAUAACCUACCUAUAAGACUGGGAUAACUUCGGGAAACCGGAGCUAAUACCGGAUAAUAUUUUGAAACGCAUGGAGCAAAAGUGAAAGACGGUCUUGCUGUCACUUAUAGAUGGAUCCGCGCUGCAUUAGCUAGUUGGUAAGGUAACGGCUGACCAAGGCAACGAUGCAUAGCCGACCUGAGAGCGUCCUCGGCCACCCUGGAACUGAGCCACGGUCCAGACUCCUACGGGAGGCAGCAGUCGGGAAUCUUCCGCCAUGCCCGCAAGCCUGCCCGAGCACCUCCGCGUGCGUGCUGCAGGUCUUCGGAUCGUAACUCUCUUUUCUUCGGGAAGAACAUAUGUGUAACUCCCUCUGCCCAUCUUGACGCUCCCUACUCCUCAAGCCCCUCCUCCCUACGUC
Molecule: ribosomal RNA, 497 nt
Filed under: uncultured bacterium
Lineage: Bacteria
Description: partial 16S ribosomal RNA
Rfam family: Bacterial small subunit ribosomal RNA
Source: RNAcentral